AAAUAACAACCAAUACCACAGAAAUACAAAAUACCAUAAGAAAAUAUUAUGAACACUUAUAUGCCAGAAAAAUGGACAAGCUAUAAGUAAUGGACAAGUUUCUAGAAUCAUACAGCCUGCCAAAACUGAAUCAAGAAGAAACAGAUAAUUUGAACAAACUGAUCACUAGAAAUGAAAUGGAAUCUAUAAUUGAAAAAACUCCCUGCAAACAAAACAAGAAGGGCUUCCCUGGUGGCGCAGUGGUC
Aethalodelphis obliquidens (Pacific white-sided dolphin) is the source of this 245-nucleotide long non-coding RNA. RefSeq lists it as uncharacterized. NCBI's taxonomy places the organism in Eukaryota, Metazoa, Chordata, Mammalia, Artiodactyla, Delphinidae. The record is from RefSeq and is a predicted model, not a curated record. The transcript has 3 exons.